UCAGUAGAGCAGCUCGCGUGACUUCCAGCUUAAGCUCUGUGGCUUUUAUCGCGACGUAUAUCGUGUUUAGAGAAAUUAAUUAUUCGGUCAUUAAGGCUGUAGGUGUUAUGAUUAGAGUUAAAAAAUUAUAGUUAUUACCAGGCCUGAAAACUCAUUAACGUGUGUUAAAGUUGUUCAGGAACUUUCCAUGCGUUAGGUCAUUUGUUUUCAUUAGGGAAAAGUUAGUUUCAAGAACAAUAAUGAAGCACUCAGUAAAAGUAGCAAACCAGAAUCAACAGUUUAAAGUUUAAUGGAUCGUUGAAGCUUUUUAAUCAAAUUAUAAGAUGCACAUGGGUGGCGUCUUGGCAACAAGUUGUAUUUUUCUGCUGAUUUUAAUUCAAGUUGCAUUUUCAACACUGCUGCCUUCCUGUCCACUUGAGUGCCUUUGUCUCUCGCAAACACAGGUGUUGUGCAAUUCCGGAGGACUCUACGACAUUCCAUUGAAACAGCUGCCGCCCACCGUAGAGCAUCUAUCUUUGACAAGAAAUCAGUUUCCAGUUGUGAAAAGCGAUUCUUUUGCAGGACUUCGUUUCCUUAAAAAAUUGUCAUUGGAUGGGAACAACAUAUCAUUAAUUAAGCCAUUUGCAUUUAGAGGGUUACCAAGGCUGCGAGACCUUUCAAUUCAGCAUACUCCACUCGAAACUGUGUCUCCAUUUGCAUUCGCUGGACUUCAAAAUAUCACUUCUAUUAAUUUGGCAUACAACAAAAUUAAGAAAAUCGAGAGUUACGCUUUCGCUGGCACUGUAAAUUUAAAGCAACUAAUAUUAACACACAACCCAAUUAUAAAGUUAGAAAGCAACGCUUUUACAGGUAUGACUGAGAUAGACCGUAUAGUUCUACCCUCUGGCAUAAGAACUAUUGAGCCUGAUUGUUUUAAUGGUUUAGAUACCUUAGGGCACUUACAGCUUGCUUUCAUGGACUUGAGGGGAUUAAGAGGUGGUAUAUUUAGAGGCUUAACAAAUGUCAAUUACCUAUCCAUCCAAGAGUCUGAUUUAGGUAUAAUAGAAGGAGAUGCAUUUAAUGAUAUGACAUAUGUUAAGAGUCUAAAUAUUCUUAAUAAUAAAGUAGAUGGUAUCCAGUUUUUGAACUUUUCAUGGGAACAACACAUAGGGCAUUUAAGAUUUCAGGGUAACCAUAUUUUGGAGAUACCUCGAGCAGAAACUUUAUUAAUCGAGGUAGAGAAAUUGACUGUGAUACAAAACCACUUUCCGUGUGACUGUCAUAUUCACUCUUUAUUAGAUGGACCUCUAGCCAAUGGUAGCAUGAUACAUUUUAUAUCUAGGAACUAUUGUAUUUCUCCUUUAGAAGUAAAUGGUGCUCCUAUGAGUAAUGUAGAUAUAGACUCUAUUGGUAGGUGUCAAGAAGAAGUGACUCGUGGUAAUUUAGAAGCUACUAAAGACUCAAACAAUAGUAGUGAACGACUAACAAGCUUCUGUAGUUACUUAAAUUUAAUGUUGUAUUUUUUAAAACUGUUGCGAAUAACCUAAGAGCUUAGGGUAUGUUGUUGCUAUAGGAACCAAACUAAUGAACUUAAAAAAAUGUGAUAUUUUUAAUUUUAUAAAAUAUUUUAUUCAUCAAGAAUUUGAUAUGCUUAAAGAUUAGUUUAGGUCAUGUUUAUUUUAUCAGCCAGUUGCCUAGAAUUUAAAGAACUCAUUGUACAGUAUUGUUGCACAUCUUCAAAAUUAUAAUUACUUAGGGUAUGUUUUUUUUUAAAUAAAACACAUUUUUAUAAGCAAAAUAUAAUUUCGCGGUGGAUGUAAAAUAAAAUUUUGUUAUAUGUAGAAAAGUCUAAUUUUUGUGACAUUAUUAAGCUGUACAUAUAUAGUUUGUUAGCCGGCUAAAUUAUUAUAGAAAAAAUUAUCCCACAAAAUGUGAUAUUAUCUCUUUACUACUGUUAUUUACGCCUAUACUGAUAAUAAUAACAUGAAUAGUUUUAAAAUACAAAAUUGCAUGUAAAAUGGUCCGUUACACCAAUGCCCUUGAUUUCUGUAAGUAAGGCUAAGUUUACCUCUAGUGCUAAGUAAAAUAUAAAAAAACAAGGUUUAAACCAUUGGUGUAAUAAGACAUAUAGAUCUAAAUUACUUUAAGAAUGCUUAAUUCCUCGUGUUUCCGAAUAGUAAUAAGUGUAUGUGAAAAUAAAUAAAGUAAUGUAAAUGCAACGGCGUAGUAAUAACGUCACACCAAAUUGUCAAUACUUAAGAGGUAUACCCUACAGUGUAAAUUUAAGAACGAAAUAUACGAUACUUUCAUCAUAUGUUAUUAGUUACCAAAAAUUUUUUUGUUUAAUAAUAUAUACGAAGGUUAUAAUUUUCUUACAAAAUGUGAAAUAUUAGUCAAAAUUAUUGGUUAUCAACAAUAAAAUGGGCAAUGAGGUAAUUUCUUAAUAUUUAAUUAUAGAAUCUAAAUUUACUCUUCAUUUUUAACGAGUGGGAAGUGAUUAAUAUAAUAUUGGAUUCAUCUGAGUUUACAACAUAUAAUUCAAGAAAAAUUGUGAGUACACUACUUAUUAUUGAGGUUUUCGGUAUCUUUCUUUCAUUAAUAUCAACAGUUCUCCGCGGGUUUUCCACAAAACGUAAAAUAUCAUCAUUCUUUUUUUUUAAAGAAAUCUGGUGUUAAACUAUUUACCAUUAUUUAUUGGACACUUUGCUUCUUCACAAUAAUUUUUUAUUGACAUUUUGAAAAUCUCCAUAAUUUUCACGUUGGAUUAUUUUGAAGCUUUACAAAAAUGCUUUACUUGCUUAUCUUUUUCUUUUGAUAUUAGUGAAGCUUCACUGGCUUUUGAGAUAUUUUCCUUAAGUUUUUUUAUGUGUUCUUUCAAAUCGUGGUCUACAAAAACUUAUUUUUAACUAGAAUGUCUUAUGAUACUAUUUGGCUACAUAACAGUGGUUUUACUCUGGGUGACACAUCAACUUACUCAGUUAAGUGUAAUAUUUUUUUGUACCGAAGUGUAUUUAGUCUAAGAGGUUAACUAGCUUUUUCAGGACAAGUAAAAGGGACAAACUGGAGCUUUGUACUAUUACAUAAUAGAUUUAAUUUGUUUAUUACAGGACUUAGGAUAUUAAUCUUUACAAUCAAAUUAGCUAUGAUAAAAAAUUAAAAUAAUAUAUUACGGAAAUUUUCACAAAUACACAAUUCAAUUUAUAGGUACAACUUAAAAGAUAUAAUAUAAUUCAUAGUUCUAACUAUAGAUAUUUUAACAAAACUUGUGUAAAAAUGUGAUUCCUAUUUUUCAUAUUAUCUCAAUUAAAUAAUGAAUCCAUUAGAAUGAAACAAAAAAUUUUACUAGACCACAAAUUAGGCCUAUGUUUAAAAUUUUUCAUUUCCUACGUUGAUACAAAGACAAAAAAAAAAGUUUUUGUUUCCUUUGUAAAUGAAUAAUUAUGUUAUUCUACUAUAAGGAGAAGGCACAAGCAUUAAUUAGGAGGAAAAUAAAAAAUUCAAACAAAAUUGCAAAACAAGUGAAUCGACUUUUAGGGAAUUAUAUUUUAUGACAAAUGGCAAUUACGUAAAUUGAUAAUCAAAAAUAAUUAACAAAAGCACCUUAAAUUACUUUGUCAAUAACUUUUAAAAACUAUUAUAAUUUCGUGUAAUAAACUGUGUUAGUUCAAUAUUUAAGUUUUUAUGGUUAUGACUUCCCUCAAUUUUUGUUUUUAAAUUUUGCAGAAAAAUCUUAAGAAUUUUCGGAAGCAAAAAUAAUAUAUUUCUUUGCACAUGAGAUCUAUUCAAAAAAUAUGAUUGUAUUUCAUUAUCUCUUUACGAACGGGUGCUAUAAUAAUAAAGUGUAAUAAUGAUAUCUAAGAAUCAUGAAGAUAUCCGACUUUAAUAAAUCUUUUCUUACAAUCAAAAAACAACUGUUUAGUGUUACGGAUACACAAGAAACCAUAUUAUUAACAUAUUGGCAAUAUCCAAAUAAAGUUACGGCAUAAAAAUAAAUGUACCGGAAUGAUGGCGCAUCGAAGCUAGAAAUAAUAUAAGCUUACGAUAGCCUGAAGCAACGAUUCUAUGCCAUGCAAUAAGUUUUAUUAAGUUAACACGCUAGUAUUUCUCAAUCCCUUGAGAAAUGUAAUGAAAAAAUAUGGUAUUGAAGCUAACCAAUUGUAAUUGAAAUUGCUGUCAGAACUGUAGAUAGUAUCACUGAAAUAAUCGCGAUAUGUGGCCAAUAUACGAGUAUAUGCUAAUAAAACUUAUUUGCAUUUUCCUGCUCAAAAAAUACUUAAAACUCCCUAGACUUAUUAGACUCCCUAGACUAAGAUCUAAGAAAGAAGCAUAGAUGCGCAUAUGUCUAGAUAACUAUACCAAACUUUUUAAAAGAUUAACAAACAUUUAUUCGUAAAAGGAGUUGCUUCAGAAACUAAAUAUUACUAAAAUCAUAAGAAGCUACAGUACUAUAAGGUAAAUUAUGUUAUAGUACUACCAAAUUAUUCCCCACAGCUUUUCAUAUUUUUUUUCCAAUUUUAAGGAAUAACAGCGUAUGAUCAAAUGACAAGAGGUCAGUAACCAUAAAAAGACAGUUUGGCAGAAAUAAUUUCAAAUUUUAUAAACAGUGGUAAAAUAUAGAAAGCUAGAUCCUAAUAAAUUUAUCUCAUAUCUAGUUUAUCAAAAUUAAGUUGCUAAAAAGAAUACUUUUUAGAAUGUGUUUUUAACUGAAAAUUUGGUUUACCGGGAUUUUCUCGUAUUAUUUGUACAAAAGGCUAAUGACUUUUUUUUAUUUAUGUAUAAAAAUUCCACACAAUAUGAGAGUUAAUAAUUUUAGUUAUAAUUUUAAAAUUAUCAUUUUAGCAUCCUGUAGCACCCAAACUUUUUGCGACUUUUUAUUAAGAUAAAUUUACUUAAAUACUCCGGUCUUAGUCUAAUAUGUUUAUUUAUCUCAUAACGCUGUUGCCAAUGUAUCAAUUCCAGGUUCAUUAUUUACCAUUCUUAUUUUUGAUUUCAUAAAAUAAAGCAUUUUAUAUAUUUAAUACAUAUAAUUUUUAGAAUUAAAACAAUAAAGAUGUAAGAGUUUUCUUAUUCAAAAUAUUUUAGUAAAAUUGAAGGCGUAUUUAUUAUAAAAUUUGUGGAAGAUACCAAGAACUCUUAGUGUAAACCUACCUAAGUACUGACAACUUGUAAAUUGUAUUGCCCGAUCAGCAUUUCUUUAGGUAUUUGUGUUGUCAAGGGACUAAUAAGGCUGCUUUAGUCCCUAAAUGUGCUCAAUAAAAUUAAUUUUUUUAUCCGUAUGCAUAAAAUGUAAUAUUUAUUAAAAAUUCAUAUUCGUUUCGCUUUUUUGGCCAUCAUCAAUGUUUUUUUUUUUAAAUACUUGCCAGCAUUUCUCACACUUAUUGAGUUACUGCAUACUAUAGUUCUUAAAUUGAAUAUACUGCAAAAUAUACACAAAAUAUAAAGUAAAACCAAAGUAUUUUUGUCAAACUAUCUCUGUCCCAUGUUAUAAAAUUUAAGAGUUCCAAACACUUUUUCCUGUUCAAUCUAAUGGCAUAUGUGAUUUUAAAUUUAAAAAACUUAAGCAAUUUUUUUGGCACUAAGCCUCUCCGUUAUUUUGCAUAACAUUUAU
Anthonomus grandis grandis is the source of this 5587-nucleotide RNA transcript. It is a transcript of the gene named leucine-rich repeat and immunoglobulin-like domain-containing nogo receptor-interacting protein 1, with no coding region annotated. The transcript has 6 exons. NCBI's taxonomy places the organism in Eukaryota, Metazoa, Arthropoda, Insecta, Coleoptera, Curculionidae. The record is from RefSeq and is a predicted model, not a curated record.